ACAGGUAGAGGAGGGGGCGAGAGAGGUUGUAAGAAAUGUUGUUAAUAAAUGUUAGGGAUUAUGUAUGUAAAAUAUCUUUUAAGCCUCACGUUUUUUCUAUGCUGUGCCAUUUUCUGUUAUUAAUAUCAUUUUACAGGUGAGAAUCAAUACCGAUCACUGUUAACGACUUAUCCAAGGUCUCACAGUAAGGAUUCAAGCUCACCACUUGACCAGCACUGUCUCCUAAAUCAUAUUUAUGGUACUGACCUGCCUGAGGUCAGCGUGUAGCUGCAUUAUGUGCCCUGCUUUUCCCCUUUAACAUUUCAUAUAGGUAAUCACCCGGGCGGUGUACUGGCUACGGCAGUUCAAAUCCACCAGGCGCUCCUUGGAAACUCUAUGGGGCAGUUCUACUCUGUCCUAUAGGGUCGCUAUGAGUCGGAAUCGAUUCAAUGGCAGUGGCUUUGCUUUUUUGUUUAUACGAAAUCACCUCUCUCUAUGACCCAUAAACGGGGUUUUUCAAUAUUACAUACAAUCUCUCCCAAGGUUCCAUUGUGGUUUCUCCAACCAUUCCGUGGAGUUGGAGAGAGUGAAGGAAAGGCACUGAGGAGUAAGAUGGGAGAGAAUAGAACGUGACUCAGCCAUUGCAGAAGGGAGGCCGAAAUCAAAGCCUGAAUUUGAGAAGCUGGGAUCAAAAUCUGCCUGGGAUCCUAAGGGAGAAGGAAGCGGCCCCACCCUGCCCAGCUCAAGCUGAUACUGGAAUCAGGGCCAGAUGGAGACAGUGCACCUGCUCCACCCGCAGGCUUCCCAAGGCACAAGCAUGGGGCAGACCAGCCCAACAGCCAGUUAAACAGGGAGGGUUCUGAGAUAAACCUUCCUCCCCCAGCUCCUUGCCAAGGGUGGGAGCGAAAACCCCUGGUGUCAUACACAAAGGUAACAAGUCUCCAAGGCAAAAAGAAGCUUAGAGACCUUCAGAUCAUACCCAGAAAACCAAGUAUACCGGAGUUACUGAAAUCUCAAAGCUAGUUAAUGAGAAACCUUGAACUUGAACUCUUUUAUAAUGCCCCCCUUUCAGAACUUGAACUAACUCUUUUAAAAUACUCUUUCAUAACAAGAGGAAUGUGUCAUGUUUAUAAGGUGAACUUUUGAUGCCUUAAUUUCCUCUCCUGUAAUGCAACAGUAAUAUGGUAGUUCAUCUUACUCCUUCUGAAUCUUAAAAGGGCAGAAUUUUAAUAAAGAAUAUAAAAGCAGUAAGUGGAUUAUUAUAAUUUUUUGCCAAGUCAGUGGAUGCUUAAAUCCUCUUAAAAUACCUUCUUAGCCAUCUAGGCAACAAGAGUUAUGAAGCUAUUCUUACCCUUUGACCCUAUAAUAUCACUCCUGGUUAUAUACCCACCAGAGAAAUAACCCAGAAGCUAAGAAGUAUUUUAUCCCAAGUGUUCACAGAGGGCCAUUUAUAACAGUGGAAACUGGAAAGAUCCCAAAUGCUGAACGCGAUGGAAUGACUAAGGAGCAGGCAGGACAAACAAUAGUACUCAACACAGCUUUGAAGCAUGGGGCCUAAGCAGCACUCACCAGUGUUCAGGAGGGGUCAUCGUAAAGACCCACCCCUAAGAGCUGCCUGGGUUCCCCUGAGAGGGGAACAGGUUCCAUGAUCUAUGGCCAGGACAAGGACCCAAUGCCCCAC
Long non-coding RNA from Loxodonta africana (African savanna elephant), 1660 nucleotides. RefSeq lists it as uncharacterized. NCBI's taxonomy places the organism in Eukaryota, Metazoa, Chordata, Mammalia, Proboscidea, Elephantidae. The transcript is spliced from 2 exons. The record is from RefSeq and is a predicted model, not a curated record.